This 497-nucleotide ribosomal RNA is filed under the name uncultured bacterium. Its description in RNAcentral is "partial 16S ribosomal RNA". It matches the Rfam family "Bacterial small subunit ribosomal RNA", at positions 28 to 507 of the family's 1533-position model. The record is from RNAcentral.
GAUGAACGCUGGCGGCGUGCCUAAUACAUGCAAGUCGAGCGAACAGACGAGGAGCUUGCUUCUCUGACGUUAGCGGCGGACGGGUGAGUAACACGUGGAUAACCUACCUAUAAGACUGGGAUAACUUCGGGAAACCGGAGCUAAUACCGGAUAAUAUAUUGAACCGCAUGGUUCAAUAGUGAAAGACGGUUUUGCUGUCACUUAUAGAUGGAUCCGCGCCGCAUUAGCUAGUUGGUAAGGUAACGGCUUACCAAGGCGACGAUGCGUAGCCGACCUGAGAGGGUGAUCGGCCACACUGGAACUGAGACACGGUCCAGACUCCUACGGGAGGCAGCAGUAGGGAAUCUUCCGCAAUGGGCGAAAGCCUGACGGAGCAACGCCGCGUGAGUGAUGAAGGUCUUCGGAUCGUAAAACUCUGUUAUUAGGGAAGAACAAAUGUGUAAGUAACUAUGCACGUCUUGACGGUACCUAAACAGAAAGCCACGGCUAACUACGUG